AGCAGCCGCGGUAAUUCCAGCUCCAAUAGCGUAUAUUAAAGUUGUUGCAGUUAAAAAGCUCGUAGUUGAAUUUCGGGGCGGGGGUGGCGGUCGCCUCUUACGGGGUCGUACUGCCAUCAAUUGACCUCGUCCUCUACCUUCUGGCGAGCCGGCAUGCUCUUAGUUGGGCGUGACGGGGAACCAGGACUGUUACUUUGAAAAAUUAGAGUGUUUAAAGCAGGCUUUUAAGCUUGAAUACAUUAGCAUGGAAUAACGAAAUAGGACGGAUUUGGUUCUAUUUUGUUGGUUUCUAGGACCACCGUAAUGAUUAAUAGGGAUAGUUGGGGGCAUUAGUAUUCAAUUGUCAGAGGUGAAAUUCUUGGAUUUAUUGAAGACUAACUUCUGCGAAAGCAUUUGCCAAGGAUGUUUUCAUUAAUCAAGAACGAAAGUUAGGGGAUCGAAGACGAUCAGAUACCGUCGUAGUCUUAACCAUAAACUAUGCCGACUAGGGAUCGGGCGAUGUUACAUAACAAUAUGACUC
RNAcentral lists this ribosomal RNA (520 nucleotides) under uncultured Paraglomus. RNAcentral describes it as "bacterial SSU rRNA". It matches the Rfam family "Eukaryotic small subunit ribosomal RNA", at positions 569 to 1077 of the family's 1831-position model. The record is from RNAcentral. Lineage: Eukaryota; Fungi; Glomeromycota; Glomeromycetes; Paraglomerales; Paraglomeraceae.